This 208-nucleotide long non-coding RNA is filed under the name Nicotiana benthamiana. Its description in RNAcentral is "long non-coding RNA (NBEN_LNC038172)". Lineage: Eukaryota; Viridiplantae; Streptophyta; Magnoliopsida; Solanales; Solanaceae. The record is from RNAcentral.
CUCCGUCAAAGCCUCAAACGCAAAUGCGGUUCUUGUAGAUUCUAUCAUCAUCAAUCAUUUACUUUUCUGUGUAUACAAUGGAUAGAUAUUGGCACUAGACCUGUUAUCGAUCAACACCCGAGUAACUACUGAAUCUUCACACUUGAUCGUCAAGUAAAGAGCUCUAUUAUGUUAUGUACCCUCCACGGGCAAUUCAUCGUCAGAAAAU